CAGUAGCCACGGGAAAACGUAGGGUGCGAGCGUUAAUCGGAAUUACUGGGCGUAAAGCGUGCGCAGGCGGUUCGUUAAGACAGAUGUGAAAUCCCCGGGCUUAACCUGGGAAUGGCAAUGGAUACUGGCGAGCUAGAGUGUGUCAGAGGAUGGUGGAAUUCCCGGUGUAGCGGUGAAAUGCGUAGAGAUCGGGAGGAACAUCAGUGGCGAAGGCGGCCAUCUGGGACAACACUGACGCUGAGGCACGAAAGCGUGGGGAGCAAACAGGAUUAGAUACCCCAGUAGUCCCUGUCUCUUAUAC
Molecule: ribosomal RNA, 301 nt
Filed under: uncultured bacterium
Lineage: Bacteria
Description: partial 16S ribosomal RNA
Rfam family: Bacterial small subunit ribosomal RNA
Source: RNAcentral